This 253-nucleotide ribosomal RNA is filed under the name uncultured bacterium. RNAcentral describes it as "partial 16S ribosomal RNA". It matches the Rfam family "Bacterial small subunit ribosomal RNA", at positions 524 to 776 of the family's 1533-position model. The record is from RNAcentral.
UACGGAGGGGGCUAGCGUUGUUCGGAAUUACUGGGCGUAAAGCGCGCGUAGGCGGAUCUGCAAGUCGGGGGUGAAAUCCCGAGGCUCAACCUCGGAACUGCCUUCGAUACUGCGGGUCUCGAGUCCGGGAGAGGUGAGUGGAAUUCCUAGUGUAGAGGUGAAAUUCGUAGAUAUUCGCAAGAACACCAGUGGCGAAGGCGGCUCACUGGCCCGGAACUGACGCUGAGGUGCGAAAGCGUGGGGAGCAAACAGG